RNAcentral lists this microRNA (21 nucleotides) under Picea abies (Norway spruce). RNAcentral's name for it is "pab-miR946b". Its record names the gene pab-miR946a. The record is from miRBase by way of RNAcentral. Lineage: Eukaryota; Viridiplantae; Streptophyta; Pinopsida; Pinales; Pinaceae.
UGUGGAUAUAGGAGGGUUAGU